This is a long non-coding RNA of Vigna radiata var. radiata (mung bean), 1542 nucleotides long. RefSeq lists it as uncharacterized. The transcript is spliced from 4 exons. NCBI's taxonomy places the organism in Eukaryota, Viridiplantae, Streptophyta, Magnoliopsida, Fabales, Fabaceae. The record is from RefSeq and is a predicted model, not a curated record.
AAAUAUUCACUCUCAUCGUUUUUGUCCACUCCAAGCUCCUUCUUCCUCUCCAAAUAAUCAAAGACUGAAGUUGAUUUGAUUCAGUGCAAGUGGUUGGGAAGCUCUUGAGUAGGUGUAUGGAACGAUGUACGGAAUAUUGAAGGAAGCACGUGAUUCGAUUUCCGUGGCAAAUCAGCAAGCCACUUUUGCGGGCUCCAUGGACGUGAAUCGAGAUUUUGGUGUGAGAAACGAAUUUGAACAAGAAAAUACGGGCAAGAAUGGGUGGCUGCAGGACUACAUGUUGGACAAUUAGUCCAUUCAAGAAUUAGUGUGGUUCAUUGCAAGCGGCUGGCGUGAUGAAUUAAAGAAAUUGAAUCUAGCUGCCGAUUUCAAUUCGUGGCUAUUUGAUGCUGGUGAGAGCAAACUGGUGAUAUGUUGAAUUAAAGACCAGGUGAUCAAGAGAUUCAAGUACAGGAAGUUCUGUGGCAAAGCAAUGAAGCAUGAGGUGGCAUACAUUUCGAUCCAUUCAUGCAUUGUAGUGCAUGGUUUACUGUGUUUGAUACUUUUUCAAUCAUGAUGUAGUGCAGAUUUGAAGCGGUUAUAUUCUUUUGCACUUUGAAGCAGUACAAUCAAGCUUGAAUUCCAGCAGCUAUGAAUUAUGAGGAGAACAGGUCGAGAUGCAAUUAGAUGUUGUUGAUGCAGGUAUCAGUUCAGUGCAUUCAAGAAGAGCUAUGUAUUAUGUCGAGCACAAGUUAACGGAGUUAAGUUGGCAUGCAGAUGACCAUGUGACGUGGUAGAUAUAUUGUUCAAGUGCCCCUUAACUUAAAAAUUUGGGGUUUUUGUUAAAGAUUUUGAAAUUAGGGUUAAUUUAUAAUUGAAUUGGGAGCAUGGCCUCCGAUGAACGGUACCGUCGGUGAAGACAACGCUGCUUUCUGCUUUUGUUCUGGUGUCCAGUAGUCUCUUCUCUACACCUCAACCACUCUCUCUGCAAUGCAACGCACACUGUUUAUCUCUUUCUAUCUUCUCUUUUCUCUUUUUGCAGCAGAAGGUGAUCUCAACCCAAAUACUGUAAUGGGGGAUUUUCUUGAACAUUGUUUACCAUGGAUUCUGGAUUUCAUGAACAAGUCUCUUAGGGCUUUCUUUCUUUUCUAUUAUGUUUUGUUCAUCUUUAAUUUCAUUUUCAUUUUCUCGAAUUCCAUUUUCUUUUUCCCUUUUUUUCAAUCUGAACUGAUUUUUGAGGAAUGGAUGAAUGCAAAAGCCCAAAAUCAUAUUCCACGCCCCUCUCUUUGCCUUUUUCCUAGAAGAAAAUAGAAGAGAAAGCGCGCCGAAGGCGAGCUCUUCCCUAGAAUCUCCCGUUGCGGAUGUUUGUCAGAGUCCACAGCGCGCCGAUACUUCCAACAGCUGGUCUCCGCGCUCCGGUUCUGCCACCGCAACGAUUUUGGUGUCUUUUCACUUUGAUUCCUUGAAAAAGCUUGGAUUUUUCUGUCUCAGCAACAUAAAUGUAAUCACCAUUAUUACAAAAGGGAGAAAAAACACAGCAAGAAAGCUUUCAGUUGUUGAUUU